This 104-nucleotide small nuclear RNA is filed under the name Microcebus murinus (gray mouse lemur). The record is from RNAcentral. Lineage: Eukaryota; Metazoa; Chordata; Mammalia; Primates; Cheirogaleidae.
GUGCUCAAUUCGGCAGCACAUAUAUUAAAAUUGGAACAAUACAGAGAUUAGCAUGACCCCUGCGCAAGAAUGAUAUGCAAAUUUGUGAAGCAUUCUAUAUUUAA